Epinephelus lanceolatus (giant grouper) is the source of this 1858-nucleotide long non-coding RNA. RefSeq lists it as uncharacterized. The record is from RefSeq and is a predicted model, not a curated record. Lineage: Eukaryota; Metazoa; Chordata; Actinopteri; Perciformes; Serranidae.
AUGAUUGAUCGAUUUAUUGCCAACUUUGAUGUUUAUGUUUAAUUUAUCAUUUUGAGUCAUUUUUAAGAAGAAAAAAGUCCAGAUUCUCUGAUUACAGAUCCUCAAAUGUGAAUAUUAUUGGGAAGGUGUGCAAUGAUGCAAAAUAAAAAUAAUCUUUAAUUCCCCUCAGAAUAGUGGCAAACUAAUAGUGGCAGUAGCCUCCAGGUCUCCUCAAGUUUAAAUUAACUGCUUUAGCUCUCUUACUUAUUCCCAUGUUUUUAACUGUUUUCCCUAGGCUUGAAAAAUGAAGAAAAGGACCACCGAGAUUACAUACCCUCGCUUUUCCCUGCCAGAAAGACGCAGUCUGCAGCCGCAAAACUGCAAAGGCUGGAGCGCAGGACACCACCAGACGCCCCAGUACUAGCAACCACAGCACCAGAGGCUCCAUGCCUUCCUCAGAGUGUGGAGAAUGAGGUUUUCAAUUUAAGGAGAGAGAGGGAUGAGGCCAGGAAGGAGUGAGAUGAAGCUGUGCAACAACUGUGAGAGAAAAUUACAUCAAAUGCAAGCUGAUGACUGGGCUGACGUGGACACUGUUUUACACCUUGCACCAGUAUCUGGUGCAGUUUGUAAAGCCACAAGAGACAUCCAAACAUUCGACACAAGAUGAGCUCUUCAUAACACUGGUGAAACUGCGGUAGAACCCUUCAACGGACUUUAUAUGUGGAAUACUUGACUUGGCACACAACACUUUUCUUGAUGUGUUCUCCAGGUGGCUCGAUCUGCUGUAUGCAAAAAUUUCAUUUUUGAUUGCUUGGCCUGACAGAGAAUGCAUCAGGAACACAGUACCAGCUGAAGUUCUUUUGCAAUACCCCAGAUUGACGUCUAUCAUUGACUGCUUUGAGAUCAGAAUCCAACAUUCAAAGAAGCUGAAAACUAGAGCAAUGACCUACUCUAAGUACAAAAACUGGACCACAGUCAAGUACUUCAUUGCAUGUCAUCCAUCUGGUGCCAUCACAUAUGUCUCCAAAGGCUGGGGUGGGAGAGCAUCAGAUGUUCACAUUAUGAGGAACUCUGAUUUCCUGCCUCAGAGAUACCUACACGCUGGAGAUCAGAUACUUGCUGACCGAGGCGUCACCUUGAGAGAGGACUUUGCUGUUCUGGGUGUACAACUGAUUACGCCAUCAUUCACGCGGGGAAGAAAACAGCUGUCAGCAGAGGAUGUGGCAAAUUCUCGUGUGACCUCAAACAUUAGAAUUCACAUAGAUAAAUAUUGUGUCAGCAGUCAGCUCUUCAGUAUAUGAAUGUGUGAGUAAUCAGAUAUAUCAGUUGUAAUAGUUUUAUUUUAUGACUGUUCCACCUGUUGAUUGUUUUUCCAGAGGUAUUUCAUUUCUUUUCUUUUUUCAAGUACUUGCAAAACCAUACUUUUGUUAACCCUGUUAUGUCAACCCUGUUACGCUAGAAUGGUAACAGGGUUGACGAAAAAUGUUCUUGGCAGCCAUUACUAGCCAUGUGGUGAAGGUCAUGAGACCACAUGGUGUGCAUUCAUUAGAGGCUUAUAUCAUGUUAUUUAUGUACAUUAAAAAUUUCUAACAAAUAUCUUUUUAACGUGUCCUUUUGUGAAAACAGGGCUGACACAAUAAGCUCGUCCCCUUCUGUCAAACAUUAUAUAACUAUAAGAAAAAUCAUGAAAAGAAGAGGACACUUACUUGUCUUUUCACCAGCAUGUUCACAAAAGGAAGCUGAUUUCACUCCCAGGAAAUGAUGCAACUUUCGGAGCAGGCCAAACAUGUUCAAUGGAUCAAAUUCAUUGUGACUGUCCUUUUAAUAUCCUUCAUGUUUUGAAAAAUGCUAAAACCUCUCAAUAAAUGUCUCCAAAAUA